RNAcentral lists this long non-coding RNA (705 nucleotides) under Capsicum annuum. Its description in RNAcentral is "long non-coding RNA (CANN_LNC004429)". The record is from RNAcentral. Lineage: Eukaryota; Viridiplantae; Streptophyta; Magnoliopsida; Solanales; Solanaceae.
ACAAUUAUCGUACUCACGCACUCAAUAUAUAACGGGCCAAUCAUCUGCUAGAUUUGACAUAUAUAUGUUGAAAUUUCUGCUAACUUGAGAUUAAUGUCUUAUUGGACGUCAUAGUUGCAUGGGCUAGCAACUUUGGGAUAAGGAUUCAUGACAAAAGGAAUACAUAUUCAAGGUUCUAUAUUUGCUGAAAUUUAACUCUGUACGUGUGGAUGUAGAUCAUAGACAGGAUAAAAAGAGAAACUGUGGGGGUUUGUGUUACGUUCGAUAUUAUUCGAAAUUAAAUAAGCUGGGAGUAACUUUCGUGAUGAAUAAAAUGAGGAAGGCAAAACUGAGAUGGUUCGGGCAAGUGAAGAGAAGAUGCACCAAUGCUCCAGUGAGGAGGUGUGCAUGAGAGAUUGGCUAUAGUGGGUAUAAGGAGAGGUAGGUGGGUAUAAGGAGAGGUAGAAGUAAGUUGAAUAAGUCUUGGGGAGAGGUGAUUAGACAGGAUAAGAUACUUCUAUAACUUACUAAAAGAAGAUAUGAAGGUCGAAGAUUGUGGUAGAAGGUUAGCAGAUGGUCGAGCGUUGUCUUAGUCCCUUAUGAUCAUCAUUGUUUUAAUUACUUCGAGCGUUGUCUUAGUCCCUUAUGAUCAUCAUUGUUUUUAUUACUAUCUUAUUAUUAUUUUUUAGUAUUACUUGUUUUUUUCCUUUGCUUCAAUUAUCGUAU